UACGGGAGGCAGCAGUGGGGAAUAUUGCACAAUGGGCGAAAGCCUGAUGCAGCUAUGCCGCGUGUAUGAAGAAGGCCUUAGGGUUGUAAAGUACUUUCAUCGGGGAGGAAAAAACAAAACUAAUAAUUUUAUUUCUUGACGUUACCCGAAAAAGAAGCACCGGCUAACUCCGUGCCAGCAGCCGCGGUAAUACGGAGGGUGCUAGCGUUAAUCAGAAUUACUGGGCGUAAAGAGCACGUAGGUGGUUUUUUUAAGUCAGAUGUGAAAUCCCUGGGCUUAACCUAGGAACUGCAUUUGAAACUGAAAUACUAGAGUAUCGUAGAGGGAGGUAGAAUUCUAGGUGUAGCGGUGAAAUGCGUAGAUAUCUGGAGGAAUACCUGUGGCGAAAGCGGCCUCCUAAACGAAUACUGACACUGAGGGUGCGAAAGCGUGGGGAGCAAACAGGGAUUAGAUACC
Molecule: ribosomal RNA, 456 nt
Filed under: uncultured bacterium
Lineage: Bacteria
Description: bacterial SSU rRNA
Rfam family: Bacterial small subunit ribosomal RNA
Source: RNAcentral